GGCGUGCCUAAUACAUGCAAGUCGAGCGGAUUGAUGGGAGCUUGCUCCCUGAUAUCAGCGGCGGACGGGUGAGUAACACGUGGGCAACCUGCCUGUAAGACUGGGAUAACUUCGGGAAACCGGAGCUAAUACCGGAUAAUCCUUUUCCUCUCAUGAGGAAAAGCUGAAAGACGGUUUCGGCUGUCACUUACAGAUGGGCCCGCGGCGCAUUAGCUAGUUGGUGAGGUAACGGCUCACCAAGGCGACGAUGCGUAGCCGACCUGAGAGGGUGAUCGGCCACACUGGGACUGAGACACGGCCCAGACUCCUACGGGAGGCAGCAGUAGGGAAUCUUCCGCAAUGGACGAAAGUCUGACGGAGCAACGCCGCGUGAGCGAAGAAGGCCUUCGGGUCGUAAAGCUCUGUUGUUAGGGAAGAACAAGUAUCGGAGUAACUGCCGGUACCUUGACGGUACCUAACCAGAAAGCCACGGCUAACUACGUGCCAGCAGCCGCGGUAAUACGUAGGUGGCAAGCGUUGUCCGGAAUUAUUGGGCGUAAAGCGCGCGCAGGCGGUUCCUUAAGUCUGAUGUGAAAGCCCCCGGCUCAACCGGGGAGGGUCAUUGGAAACUGGGGAACUUGAGUGCAGAAGAGAAGAGCGGAAUUCCACGUGUAGCGGUGAAAUGCGUAGAGAUGUGGAGGAACACCAGUGGCGAAGGCGGCUCUUUGGUCUGUAACUGACGCUGAGGCGCGAAAGCGUGGGGAGCGAACAGGAUUAGAUACCCUGGUAGUCCACGCCGUAAACGAUGAGUGCUAAGUGUUAGAGGGUUUCCGCCCUUUAGUGCUGCAGCAAACGCAUUAAGCACUCCGCCUGGGGAGUACGGCCGCAAGGCUGAAACUCAAAGGAAUUGACGGGGGCCCGCACAAGCGGUGGAGCAUGUGGUUUAAUUCGAAGCAACGCGAAGAACCUUACCAGGUCUUGACAUCCUCUGACACUCCUAGAGAUAGGACGUUCCCCUUCGGGGGACAGAGUGACAGGUGGUGCAUGGUUGUCGUCAGCUCGUGUCGUGAGAUGUUGGGUUAAGUCCCGCAACGAGCGCAACCCUUGAUCUUAGUUGCCAGCAUUUAGUUGGGCACUCUAAGGUGACUGCCGGUGACAAACCGGAGCAAGGUGGGGAUGACGUCAAAUCAUCAUGCCCCUUAUGACCUGGACUACACACGUGCUACAAUUGGCUGGUACAAAGGGUCGCAAAACCGCGAGGUCGAGCCAUUCCCAUAAAACCAUUCUC
This 1267-nucleotide ribosomal RNA is filed under the name Bacillus sp. (in: firmicutes). Its description in RNAcentral is "bacterial SSU rRNA". It matches the Rfam family "Bacterial small subunit ribosomal RNA", at positions 41 to 1289 of the family's 1533-position model. Lineage: Bacteria; Bacillati; Bacillota; Bacilli; Caryophanales; Bacillaceae. The record is from RNAcentral.